This 1575-nucleotide long non-coding RNA is filed under the name Salmo salar (Atlantic salmon). RNAcentral describes it as "lncRNA (ENSSSAG00000088459.1)". The record is from RNAcentral. Lineage: Eukaryota; Metazoa; Chordata; Actinopteri; Salmoniformes; Salmonidae.
CGUAACAGAAAACUACAGCGAAAGAUGAUACUGUGAGAUUUCAAAACGUUUUAAAACCACGUCCAGAGAGAGAGAGACUGUCAACGAAUACAGCAAAGAGCUGCUGUUUUUAUGAGACCUGAGCCCUAGGACCAUGCCUCAGGACUACCUGGUAUGAUGACUCCUUGCUGUCCCCAGUCCACCUGGCCGUGCUGCUGCUCCAGUUUCAACUGUUCUGCCUGCGGCUAUGGAACCCUGACCUGUUCACCGGACGUGCUUGUUGCACCCUCGACAACUACUAUGAUUAUUAUUAUUUGACCAUGCUGGUCAUUUAUGAACAUUUUAACAUCUUGACUAUGUUCUGUUAUAAUAUCCACCCUGCACAGCCAGAAGAGGACUGGCCACCCCUCAUAGCCUGGUUCCUCUCUAGGUUUCUUCCUAGGUUUUUGGCCUUUCUAGGGAGUUUUUCCUAGGGAGUUUUUCCUAGCCACCGUGCUUCUUUCACAUGCUUUGCUUGCUGUUUGGGGUUUUAGGCUGGGUUUCUGUACAGCACUUUGAGAAUAUCAGCUGAUGUACGAAGGGCUAUAUAAAAAUAAAUUUGAAAUUUGAUUUGACUAGCUACCGAAAGGUUGAAAGAUCAAAUCCCCGAGCUGACAAGGUACAAAUCUGUUGUUCUGCCCCUGAACAAGGCAGUUAACCCAUGGUUCCUAGGCUCUCAUUGAAAAUAAGAAUUUGUUCUUAACUGACUUGACUAGUUAAAUAAAGGUCAAAAUUCUUAUGUAAAUAAGGUAUUUCUGUUUUAUUUUCUGUACAGAAGCUGUCAUUGCAAACUUCAACAGUCGGGACAAAGUUCGAUAUUAUCAUACAAUUAGUCUUUGUAGAUCCAGACCAUGUACAGAUACAGAGCCUGGAGAAGUGGAUGGGUAGGAAGGAGGGAUGAAAAGAGAGAGAGAGAUUGAGGGAAGAAGAGAGAGAAUGAAUGAGAGAAGGAGAAAGAAUAAAGAGAAAUAGGUCACCUUCAUGGUAAUAGUUAGCAAUUCAAAUAUGUGUUUCCACCAGAAGAGAAGUGAGGAGGUUGGUGUAACCUACUAGGGUUAGGGUUGCGCUCCACCAGAAGUGAAGUGAGGAGGUUGGUGUAACCUAUUCUUGGCACCACAUGCAGGGCCCACAGUCACUGUGUUUAUCGGACUUAGGGGCUUCUGAGUGAAGCACGCGUUAGGUCCCAUCACCAUCCCGAACAUUAGCCAGCCACCACUGAUUCAAGACAUCUAUUAGCAAGCUUGGGGCUGUGUUUCCAAUGACACCCUGUUCCCUACAGAGUGCAUUCUUUUUGACCAGAGCCCUCAAAAGUAGUGCACUACAUAGGGAAUAGGGUACCAUUUGAGACGUAACCGCUGCUUUUAAAAGGAUCAGGAAGCCUGACAGGCAUGUGACUUCAAGCAUUGUCAUUCAUUCUAAUUUAUUCAUUUUGAAUACAGUUAACGAUGAAAAAAAACUAAAAAAAAACGAUCCACUUUUUCCUCCAAGGAUUCAUUUGGUUGAUUUCAAUAUUGAUGUAUUGUCACUGCAGCCUAGUUUCCUCUCAGCCCUCCUGUG